Solea senegalensis (Senegalese sole) is the source of this 732-nucleotide long non-coding RNA. RefSeq lists it as uncharacterized. The record is from RefSeq and is a predicted model, not a curated record. Lineage: Eukaryota; Metazoa; Chordata; Actinopteri; Pleuronectiformes; Soleidae. The transcript is spliced from 2 exons.
GAGAGAAAAAACCGAGGGUGAAGCUGCGUGUAUGCAGCAGGGUGAAAGAAACUGUUUAAUUAAAGUCUGACACCAGUGUUCGACCAGGACUCUUUGUGAGAUUUUAUGGUGACUUUUCUGUGAGUUUGUGUGGAUUACUCAAGCCGAGAAGAAGAACAAAGUUAAGCUAACUGCUAACGUAGUAGCUAGUGAUGCUGCGCAAGGCCUCGCUAACGAGCUAAAGACCAGUGACCUCUAUGGUGAAGUCUGUGUGGACUUGCCUGUGUGGAGCUGCCGUCGAUGGAGCUGAGUGCCAAAGUGUGGAUUGAGCCGGGAUCGUCAGCUACGUGAGUCUUCUCAUCUGCGUGGAUCGUCUCCUCCUCAUCACCUUUCCUCCUGCUUUUGCCGGCCUACAUCCUGCGUGUGCGUAGCUACAACACCUGUGGAUUAAGGAAUCACAGCAUGUCAAGAGAUGAAAGACAAAUGAACGAAGAAGGGUGGUGCCCCAAUCCCAAUAAACAAGUAUGAAAGAGAGGACUGACCACAGACUGAAGCAGCUCUCAGGAUGUUGAUACUUUAGUCUUGAGGCCAUUUGUGUCUUUAGUUUUGCAACUGUAAAAUUGUAUUAUUUAAAAUCCAUUUAGCCUUUUAAGUUUGUUUAGACCCACUGAUUGUUCAACAUCAUGAUGUGUUAAUCUACAAUAUUUGAAUUAUGUUAAUAAAGGGAGGGGAGAGGAGGAGAGGUGGAGUUAA